Molecule: ribosomal RNA, 403 nt
Filed under: uncultured bacterium
Lineage: Bacteria
Description: bacterial SSU rRNA
Rfam family: Bacterial small subunit ribosomal RNA
Source: RNAcentral
GGGAAUAUUGCGCAAUGGGGGAAACCCUGACGCAGCAACGCCGCGUGAGUGAAGAAGUAUCUCGGUAUGUAAAGCUCUCUCAGCGGGGAAGAAAGAGGACGGUACCCGACUAAGAAGCCCCGGCUAACUACGUGCCAGCAGCCGCGGUAAUACGUAGGGGGCGAGCGUUAUCCGGAUUUACUGGGUGUAAAGGGAGCGUAGACGGCGUCGCAAGUCUGAAGUGAAAGCCCGUGGCUCAACCGCGGAACCGCUUUGGAAACUGUGAGGCUGGAGUGCUGGAGAGGUAAGCGGAAUUCCUGGUGUAGCGGUGAAAUGCGUAGAUAUCAGGAGGAACACCGGUGGCGAAGGCGGCUUACUGGACAGUGACUGACGUUGAGGCUCGAAAGCGUGGGGAGCGAACAGG